GGGGGAGUAGCUCAGUGGGAGAGCGCCUGCCUUGCAAGCAGGAGGUCGGCGGUUCGAAUCCGCUCUUCUCCACCA
This 75-nucleotide transfer RNA is filed under the name Thermacetogenium phaeum DSM 12270. RNAcentral describes it as "tRNA-Ala (TGC) (tRNA-Ala-TGC-1-1)". It matches the Rfam family "tRNA". From Rfam's summary of the family: Transfer RNA (tRNA) molecules are approximately 80 nucleotides in length. Their secondary structure includes four short double-helical elements and three loops (D, anti-codon, and T loops). Lineage: Bacteria; Bacillati; Bacillota; Clostridia; Thermoanaerobacterales; Thermoanaerobacteraceae. The record is from RNAcentral.